CAACUGUGAGGUGUUAACCACAUUGACUCCAGAUACAGGGAGGAUACUGUCCAAGCUGCAUGCUGUGCAGCCUCGAGGAAACAUUAGUUUCUGCACUGGUAUCAGGGUGGCACAUCUAGCACUGAAACACAGACAAGGCAAAAAUCACAAGAUGCGAAUUAUUGCAUUUGUUGGCAGCCCUGUAGAAGACACUGACAAAGAACUUGUCAAAAUGGCAAAGCGGCUGAAAAAAGAAAAGGUCAACGUGGAUGUCAUCAACUUUGGAGAAGAGGAGAUGAACACGGAGAAACUCACAGCCUUCAUCAACACGCUUAAUGGCAAAGAGGGGACUGGCUCCC
Long non-coding RNA from Oryzias melastigma (Indian medaka), 338 nucleotides. RefSeq lists it as uncharacterized. The transcript is spliced from 4 exons. NCBI's taxonomy places the organism in Eukaryota, Metazoa, Chordata, Actinopteri, Beloniformes, Adrianichthyidae. The record is from RefSeq and is a predicted model, not a curated record.